GAUGAACGCUGGCGGCGUGCCUAAUACAUGCAAGUCGAGCGAACAGACGAGGAGCUUGCUCCUCUGACGUUAGCGGCGGACGGGUGAGUAACACGUGGAUAACCUACCUAUAAGACUGGGAUAACUUCGGGAAACCGGAGCUAAUACCGGAUAAUAUAUUGAACCGCAUGGUUCAAUAGUGAAAGACGGUUUUGCUGUCACUUAUAGAUGGAUCCGCGCCGCAUUAGCUAGUUGGUAAGGUAACGGCUUACCAAGGCAACGAUGCGUAGCCGACCUGAGAGGGGGGUAGGCCACACUGGAAGUCAGCCACGGUAGAGACGACUAGGGGAGGCAGCAGUAGGGUAUCUGCCGCAAUGGGCGAAAGCGUGACGGAGCAACUUAGCGGGAGUGAUGAAGGUCUUCGGAGCGUAAAACUCUGUUAUUAGGGAAGAACAAAUGUGUAAGUAACUAUGCACGUCUUGACGGUACCUAAUCAGAAAGCCACGGCUAACUACGUG
RNAcentral lists this ribosomal RNA (497 nucleotides) under uncultured bacterium. Its description in RNAcentral is "partial 16S ribosomal RNA". It matches the Rfam family "Bacterial small subunit ribosomal RNA", at positions 28 to 507 of the family's 1533-position model. The record is from RNAcentral.